CUCAGUGUAUAGAACUGGUGAUCUAUGAUGUCAUCUGCGUCUCAAGACUAUCACUAGAUGACAAGGACAGGGACUGAGUAUAUCUCAAUCGCCUUCCAGCAUUUAAGGUGUUACACACUGUGUUUAGAAGACAAGUUAUUUCACAUGAAUCAUCCUCAUGGCAGGAAUCCAGGGCCCAGAUGCCUGGCCACUGCAUGAGCCAGGACCUCACUGGUGCCUAGAAAGGACCCUGUCUAUGCCAUGUCUACAGGAUGAGUCGGGACAGACAGCCUGCACACUCCCCACUGCCAUCGUCCCUGCUGAGAUUGCCCUGCAGAUAUGCUGUUCCUCUCCUGAC
Eptesicus fuscus (big brown bat) is the source of this 337-nucleotide long non-coding RNA. RefSeq lists it as uncharacterized. The transcript is spliced from 3 exons. The record is from RefSeq and is a predicted model, not a curated record. Lineage: Eukaryota; Metazoa; Chordata; Mammalia; Chiroptera; Vespertilionidae.